ACUAUAUGUUCAACGGCCGCGGUAUUCUGACCGUGCGAAGGUAGCGCAAUCACUUGUCUCUUAAAUGGAGACCUGUAUGAAAGGCAUCACGAGGGCUUAGCUGUCUCCCCUUCAAGGUCAAUGAAAUUGAUCUCCCCGUGCAGAAGCGGGGAUACGCCCGUAAGACGAGAAGACCCUAUGGAGCUUGAGACAUAAGACGACCCACGUCACUAACCCCUCUAAAAGGAAAUGAACAAAAUGGACUUCGCCGAAAUGUCUUCGGUUGGGGCGACCGCGGGGAAAGACCAAACCCCCACGUGGACCAAGGCCACAAUAGCCUUAAAACCCAGACCCCCUGGUCGAAUCAACAGUAUUUCUGACCACCAAAGAGCCGGCAAUGCCGAUCAACGGACCGAGUUACCCUAGGGAUAACAGCGCAAUCCCCUCCCAGAGCCCUUAUCGACGAGGGGGUUUACGACCUCGAUGUUGGAUCAGGACAUCCUAAUGGUGCAGCCGCUAUUAAGGGUUCGUUUGUUCAACGAUUAAAGUCCUACGUGAU
RNAcentral lists this ribosomal RNA (538 nucleotides) under Diaphus garmani (Garman's lanternfish). RNAcentral describes it as "partial large subunit ribosomal RNA". It matches the Rfam family "Bacterial large subunit ribosomal RNA", at positions 1915 to 2604 of the family's 2925-position model. Lineage: Eukaryota; Metazoa; Chordata; Actinopteri; Myctophiformes; Myctophidae. The record is from RNAcentral.